GAAUUGCGAUAAGUAAUGUGAAUUGCAGAAUUCAGUGAAUCAUCGAAUCUUUGAACGCACCUUGCACCCUUUGGUAUUCCGAAGGGUAUGCCCGGUUGAGUAUUAUGAUCAACUCAAACCUCUGGUUUUCUGAUUGCAAAGGCGUAACGACCGACGAAGCCAUCCAUCUGGGGUGACGGUAGUUGGAGUUUCGCUUGGAGCAUCGGAGGUGUUGGACUUGAGCGCACGUCGGUUUGACUUUCGAACCGACCCGCUUGAAAUGAAUUAGCCGACAACCGCCUUUACACGGUUUCACUCGACGUGAUAAGUCUAUUCGUUGAGUGCGUGGAUGGGGCUUCAGGUCGCUUCUAAUCGUCUUUGGACACUUUGUUGAACCUUUAAUCUCAACUCGGGUAGGACUACCCGCUGAACUUAAGCAUAUCAAUAAGCGGAGGAAAAGAAACUAACAAGGAUUCCCCUAGU
This 462-nucleotide ribosomal RNA is filed under the name uncultured Tulasnellaceae. RNAcentral's name for it is "eukaryotic LSU rRNA". The stretch from base 1 to 105 matches the Rfam family "5.8S ribosomal RNA", at positions 50 to 154 of the family's 154-position model. The record is from RNAcentral. Lineage: Eukaryota; Fungi; Basidiomycota; Agaricomycetes; Cantharellales; Tulasnellaceae.